CCGAUGGGAGAAUCAAGUCCCAGGAGACGAGCAAGAUCUUCGGAACACCAAGUGCGUGGGCCAUUUAUUGCAAGAAGAUAGUCAAUCCAGAUAAGAAGUCGGGCUGCGGCUGGGCGUCUGUUCGCUACCGAGGGAAGAAGCUAGAUUCCUACAAGAACAAUUGGUACAGGCAGAAGAGGAUUGAAUUUGAGAAGGAAGGCGAGGCAUUGGAUGAAGAAGAGAG
This is a non-coding RNA of Penaeus vannamei (Pacific white shrimp), 223 nucleotides long. NCBI's taxonomy places the organism in Eukaryota, Metazoa, Arthropoda, Malacostraca, Decapoda, Penaeidae. The record is from RefSeq and is a predicted model, not a curated record.